UACGGGGGGGGCAAGCGUUGUUCGGAAUUACUGGGCGUAAAGGGCUCGUAGGCGGCCAACUAAGUCAGACGUGAAAUCCCUCGGCUUAACCGGGGAACUGCGUCUGAUACUGGAUGGCUUGAGAUUGGGAGAGGGAUGCGGAAUUCCAGGUGUAGCGGUGAAAUGCGUAGAUAUCUGGAGGAACACCGGUGGCGAAGGCGGCAUCCUGGACAAACACUGACGCUGAGGAGCGAAAGCCAGGGGAGCAAACGGG
RNAcentral lists this ribosomal RNA (253 nucleotides) under uncultured bacterium. RNAcentral describes it as "partial 16S ribosomal RNA". It matches the Rfam family "Bacterial small subunit ribosomal RNA", at positions 524 to 776 of the family's 1533-position model. The record is from RNAcentral.